UACGUAGGAGGCAAGCAUUAUCCGGAUUCAUUGGGCGUAAAGUGUGCGUAGGCGUCUUGUAAAGUUUUUGUUUAAAGACCGGGGCUUACCCCUGGAUUUGGCAGAAAUACUCACAAGAUUGAGGAUAGAUCGGGGAGAUAGAACAGGUAGUGUAGCAGUGAAAUGCGUUGAUAUUACCUGGAAUACCAAAAGCGAAGGCAGUUUCCUGGGUUUUUCCUGACGCUGAGGCACGAAAGCCAGGGGAGCGAAACAG
RNAcentral lists this ribosomal RNA (253 nucleotides) under uncultured bacterium. Its description in RNAcentral is "partial 16S ribosomal RNA". It matches the Rfam family "Bacterial small subunit ribosomal RNA", at positions 524 to 776 of the family's 1533-position model. The record is from RNAcentral.